Non-coding RNA from Cinara cedri, 449 nucleotides. Lineage: Eukaryota; Metazoa; Arthropoda; Insecta; Hemiptera; Aphididae. The record is from the annotation of a GenBank genome assembly.
UUUUCACUACGCUCUGAAUUUAAACGAAUGAAAUCUUUAUCGAAAACACACGAAUUAAAUAAUUUAAAAAUGUCGUAUCGAUGAAUUAUUUUACAAAGUCAUUUUAAUACGUCUGUCGGUUUUUGUUUUUCAUCGAAUUACCUUUGUGCGUGAGAAAAACCCAUCAAUUCCAGUCGUCCUGCACUGUAUGCAUUAAAUGUGCCUUGUUCGACCCUAAUCAGGACCCGCCUGUAAACACAUACGCCAAAGUUUAUCAAACUAUAUGUAAAUCAGCGGGUCCUUUCCGAACGGAUUCCAGAUCGCGAAAUGGUCGUUUCGUUACUGGAAACGGUUAAACCGCGGUGGCUUUACCGACCGAGAAAUUUAGCUUGAUAAAAACGACGAUUUUCGUUGCAUUACUGAAUUUAAAACAAAAGACGUCUUAGGAUAAAGAGGACGGGUGCAGCUAC